Molecule: ribosomal RNA, 1351 nt
Filed under: Bacillus sp. (in: firmicutes)
Lineage: Bacteria; Bacillati; Bacillota; Bacilli; Caryophanales; Bacillaceae
Description: bacterial SSU rRNA
Rfam family: Bacterial small subunit ribosomal RNA
Source: RNAcentral
AGUUAGCGGCGGACGAGGUGAGUAACACGUGGGUAACCUGCCCAUAAGACUGGGAUAACUCCGGGAAACCGGGGCUAAUACCGGAUAACAUUUUGAACCGCAUGGUUCGAAAUUGAAAGGCGGCUUCGGCUGUCACUUAUGGAUGGACCCGCGUCGCAUUAGCUAGUUGGUGAGGUAACGGCUCACCAAGGCAACGAUGCGUAGCCGACCUGAGAGGGUGAUCGGCCACACUGGGACUGAGACACGGCCCAGACUCCUACGGGAGGCAGCAGUAGGGAAUCUUCCGCAAUGGACGAAAGUCUGACGGAGCAACGCCGCGUGAGUGAUGAAGGCUUUCGGGUCGUAAAACUCUGUUGUUAGGGAAGAACAAGUGCUAGUUGAAUAAGCUGGCACCUUGACGGUACCUAACCAGAAAGCCACGGCUAACUACGUGCCAGCAGCCGCGGUAAUACGUAGGUGGCAAGCGUUAUCCGGAAUUAUUGGGCGUAAAGCGCGCGCAGGUGGUUUCUUAAGUCUGAUGUGAAAGCCCACGGCUCAACCGUGGAGGGUCAUUGGAAACUUGGGGAGACCUUGAAGUGCCAGAAAGAGGGAAAAGUGGGAAUUUCCCAUGUUGUAGCCGGGUGAAAAUGCCGUAGGAGAUUAUGGGAGGGAACCACCCAGGUGGGCGAAGGGGGGGCCUUUUCUGGUUCUGUAAACUGAACACUGGAGGGCGCGAAAAGCGUGGGGGAGCAAACCAGGGAUUUAGAUACCCCUGGUAGUCCCACCCCCGUAAAACGAUGAGUGUUAAGUGUUAGAGGGUUUCCCGCCCUUUAGUGCGGAAGUUAACCCAUUAACCAUUCCGCCUGGGGAGUACGCCCGCAAGGCUGAAAUUCAAAGGAAUGGACGGGGGCCCGCCCAACCGGUGGAGCAUGUGGUUUAAUUGGAAGCAACGCGAAGACCCUUCCCAGUUCUUGACAUCUUUUGACAACCCUAGAGAUAGGGUUUUUCUUUGGGGAGCAGAGUGCCAGGUGGUCCAUGGUGGUCUCCAGCUCGUGUCGUAAGAUGUUGGGUUAAGUCCCGCAACGAGCGCAACCCUUGUUUUUAGUUGCCAUCAUUAAGUUGGGCACUUUAAGGGGACUCCCGGGGACAAACCGGAGGAAGGUGGGGAGGACGUCAAAUCUUCAUGCCCCUUAUGACCUGGGUUCCCCACGUGUUCCAAUGGCCGGUCCAAAGAGCUCCAAGACCCCGAGGUGGAGUUAUUUUCAUAAAACCGUUUUCAGUUCGGAUUGUAGUCUGCAAUUCGCCUCCAUGAAGCGGGAAUCGUUAGUAAUCGCGGAUCACCAUGCCGCGGUGAAUACGUUCCCGGCCCUUG